This 65-nucleotide transfer RNA is filed under the name Geothelphusa dehaani. Its description in RNAcentral is "tRNA-Tyr". It matches the Rfam family "tRNA". Rfam says of the family: Transfer RNA (tRNA) molecules are approximately 80 nucleotides in length. Their secondary structure includes four short double-helical elements and three loops (D, anti-codon, and T loops). The record is from RNAcentral. Lineage: Eukaryota; Metazoa; Arthropoda; Malacostraca; Decapoda; Potamidae.
UGUAAAGUGGCUGAGGGUAAGGCGGUGAAUUGUAAAUUCAUUAACAAGUGAAUGCUUCUUUAUUA